UGCGACGCCCAACACACAAAACAAGCGGUGAAUGCUUUGGGGUGGGGUGACUGCGUACCUUUUGUAUAAUGGGUCAGCGACUUAUAUUCUGUAGCAAGGUUAACCGAAUAGGGGAGCCGGAGGGAAACCGAGUCUUAAUUGGGCGUUAAGUUGCAGGGUAUAGACCCGAAACCCGGUGAUCUAGCCAUGGGCAGGUUGAAGGUUGGGUAACACUAACUGGAGGACCGAACCGACUAAUGUUGAAAAAUUAGCGGAUGACCUGUGGCUGGGGGUGAAAGGCCAAUCAAACCGGGAGAUAGCUGGUUCUCCCCGAAAGCUAUUUAGGUAGCGCCUCGUGAAUUCAUCUCCGGGGGUAGAGCACUGUUUCGGCUAGGGGGCCAUCCCGGCUUACCAACCCGAUGCAAACUGCGAAUACCGGAGAAUGUUAUCACGGGAGACACACGGCGGGUGCUAACGUCCGUCGUGAAGAGGGAAACAACCCAGACCGCCAGCUAAGGUCCCAAAGUCAUGGUUAAGUGGGAAACGAUGUGGGAAGGCCCAGACAGCCAGGAUGUUGGCUUAGAAGCAGCCAUCAUUUAAAGAAAGCGUAAUAGCUCACUGGUCGAGUCGGCCUGCGCGGAAGAUGUAACGGGGCUAAACCAUGCACCGAAGCUGCGGCAGCGAACGUAUCACCCAAGACAACUUUACGGAGUUGACGAUUGACGGAGCGAAGCGACGUCAAAGCGUUCAUUAAAGUCGAGUUGGCUUAGGGAUACGUUCGUUGGGUAGGGGAGCGUUCUGUAAGCCUGUGAAGGUGUGUCGUGAGGCAUGCUGGAGGUAUCAGAAGUGCGAAUGCUGACAUAAGUAACGAUAAAGCGGGUGAAAAGCCCGCUCGCCGGAAGACCAAGGGUUCCUGUCCAACGUUAAUCGGGGCAGGGUGAGUCGACCCCUAAGGCGAGGCCGAAAGGCGUAGUCGAUGGGAAACGGGUUAAUAUUCCCGUACUUGGUGUUACUGCGAAGGGGGGACGGAGAAGGCUAUGUUGGCCGGGCGACGGUUGUCCCGGUUUAAGCGUGUAGGUGUGUGUUCCAGGUAAAUCCGGUUCACUUUAACACUGAGGCGUGACGACGAGGCACUACGGUGCUGAAGCAACAAAUGCCCUGCUUCCAGGAAAAGCCUCUAAGCAUCAGGUAACAUCAAAUCGUACCCCAAACCGACACAGGUGGUCAGGUAGAGAAUACCAAGGCGCUUGAGAGAACUCGGGUGAAGGAACUAGGCAAAAUGGUGCCGUAACUUCGGGAGAAGGCACGCUGACACGUAGGUGAAGUGAUUUACUCAUGGAGCUGAAGUCAGUCGAAGAUACCAGCUGGCUGCAACUGUUUAUUAAAAACACAGCACUGUGCAAACACGAAAGUGGACGUAUACGGUGUGACGCCUGCCCGGUGCCGGAAGGUUAAUUGAUGGGGUCAGCGCAAGCGAAGCUCCUGAUCGAAGCCCCGGUAAACGGCGGCCGUAACUAUAACGGUCCUAAGGUAGCGAAAUUCCUUGUCGGGUAAGUUCCGACCUGCACGAAUGGCGUAAUGAUGGCCAGGCUGUCUCCACCCGAGACUCAGUGAAAUUGAACUCGCUGUGAAGAUGCAGUGUACCCGCGGCAAGACGGAAAGACCCCGUGAACCUUUACUAUAGCUUGACACUGAACAUUGAGCCUUGAUGUGUAGGAUAGGUGGGAGGCUUUGAAGUGUGGACGCCAGUCUGCAUGGAGCCGACCUUGAAAUACCACCCUUUAAUGUUUGAUGUUCUAACGUGGACCCGUAAUCCGGGUUGCGGACAGUGUCUGGUGGGUAGUUUGACUGGGGCGGUCUCCUCCUAAAGAGUAACGGAGGAGCACGAAGGUUGGCUAAUCCUGGUCGGACAUCAGGAGGUUAGUGCAAUGGCAUAAGCCAGCUUGACUGCGAGCGUGACGGCGCGAGCAGGUGCGAAAGCAGGUCAUAGUGAUCCGGUGGUUCUGAAUGGAAGGGCCAUCGCUCAACGGAUAAAAGGUACUCCGGGGAUAACAGGCUGAUACCGCCCAAGAGUUCAUAUCGACGGCGGUGUUUGGCACCUCGAUGUCGGCUCAUCACAUCCUGGGGCUGAAGUAGGUCCCAAGGGUAUGGCUGUUCGCCAUUUAAAGUGGUACGCGAGCUGGGUUUAGAACGUCGUGAGACAGUUCGGUCCCUAUCUGCCGUGGGCGCUGGAGAACUGAGGGGGGCUGCUCCUAGUACGAGAGGACCGGAGUGGACGCAUCACUGGUGUUCGGGUUGUCAUGCCAAUGGCACUGCCCGGUAGCUAAAUGCGGAAGAGAUAAGUGCUGAAAGCAUCUAAGCACGAAACUUGCCCCGAGAUGAGUUCUCCCUGAGACUUAGAGUCUCCUGAAGGAACGUUGAAGACGACGACGUUGAUAGGCCGGGUGUGUAAGCGCAGCGAUGCGUUGAGCUAACCGGUACUAAUGAACCGUGAGGCUUAACCUUACA
This 2487-nucleotide ribosomal RNA is filed under the name Salmonella enterica subsp. enterica. RNAcentral's name for it is "partial 23S ribosomal RNA". It matches the Rfam family "Bacterial large subunit ribosomal RNA", at positions 549 to 2925 of the family's 2925-position model. Lineage: Bacteria; Pseudomonadati; Pseudomonadota; Gammaproteobacteria; Enterobacterales; Enterobacteriaceae. The record is from RNAcentral.